Molecule: ribosomal RNA, 253 nt
Filed under: uncultured archaeon
Lineage: Archaea
Description: partial 16S ribosomal RNA
Rfam family: Archaeal small subunit ribosomal RNA
Source: RNAcentral
AACCAGCACCUCAAGUGGUCAGGAUGAUUAUUGGGCCUAAAGCAUCCGUAGCCGGCUCUGUAAGUUUUCGGUUAAAUCUAUGCGCUCAACGUAUAGGCUGCCGAAAAUACUGCAGAACUAGGGAGUGGGAGAGGUAGACGGUACUCGGUAGGAAGGGGUAAAAUCCUUUGAUCUAUUGAUGACCACCUGUGGCGAAGGCGGUCUACCAGAACACGUUCGACGGUGAGGGAUGAAAGCUGGGGGAGCAAACCGG